GUACUCACUUCGGCAGCAUAUACUAGGAAGAUUAGCAUGGCCCCUGUGCAAGAAGGACUCAAAUUCGUGAAGCGUUCCAUUUUCAA
Molecule: small nuclear RNA, 86 nt
Filed under: Saimiri boliviensis boliviensis (Bolivian squirrel monkey)
Lineage: Eukaryota; Metazoa; Chordata; Mammalia; Primates; Cebidae
Source: RNAcentral